This 304-nucleotide ribosomal RNA is filed under the name uncultured Microgenomates group bacterium. RNAcentral's name for it is "bacterial SSU rRNA". It matches the Rfam family "Bacterial small subunit ribosomal RNA", at positions 28 to 351 of the family's 1533-position model. The record is from RNAcentral.
GAUGAACGCUGGCGGCGUGCCUUAGGCAUGCAAGUCGAACGAGAGUAGCAAUACUCUAGUGGCAGACGGGUGAGUAACGCGUAGGAAUCUACCCCUGGGUAAGGCAUAGCCGGUCGAAAGGUCGGGUAAUACCUUAUAGUUCUCGCAAGAGUAAAGGACUUAACGGUCCGCCGAGGGAGGAGCCUGCGUCCUAUCAGCUAGUUGGUGAGGUAAAAGCUUACCAAGGCGAUGACGGGUAGCUGGACUGAGAGGUCGAUCAGCCACAACUGCACUGAGACACGGGCAGUACACCUACGGGAGGCUG